This 498-nucleotide ribosomal RNA is filed under the name uncultured bacterium. RNAcentral describes it as "partial 16S ribosomal RNA". It matches the Rfam family "Bacterial small subunit ribosomal RNA", at positions 30 to 523 of the family's 1533-position model. The record is from RNAcentral.
AUUGAACGCUGGCGGCAUGCCUUACACAUGCAAGUCGAACGGUAACAGGUCUUCGGAUGCUGACGAGUGGUGAACGGGUGAGUAAUACAUCGGAACGUGCCUAGUAGUGGGGGAUAACUACUCGAAAGAGUGGCUAAUACCGCAUGAGAUCUACGGAUGAAAGCAGGGGAUCGCAAGACCUUGUGCUACUAGAGCGGCAGAUGGCAGAUUAGGUAGUUGGUGGGAUAAAAGCUUACCAAGCCGACGAUCUGUAGCUGGUCUGAGAGGACGAUCAGCCACACCGGGACUGAGACACGGCCCAGACUCCUACGGGAGGCAGCAGUGGGGAAUUUUGGACAAUGGGCGAAAGCCUGAUCCAGCAAUGCCGCGUGCAGGAUGAAGGCCUUCGGGUUGUAAACUGCUUUUGUACGGAACGAAAAGCCCCGGGUUAAUACCCUGGGGUCAUGACGGUACCGUAAGAAUAAGCACCGGCUAACUACGUGCCAGCCGCCGCGGUAA